Molecule: ribosomal RNA, 546 nt
Filed under: Salmonella enterica subsp. enterica serovar Senftenberg
Lineage: Bacteria; Pseudomonadati; Pseudomonadota; Gammaproteobacteria; Enterobacterales; Enterobacteriaceae
Description: bacterial SSU rRNA
Rfam family: Bacterial small subunit ribosomal RNA
Source: RNAcentral
UUUCCAGAGAUGGACUGGUGCCUUCGGGAACUGUGAGACAGGUGCUGCAUGGCUGUCGUCAGCUCGUGUUGUGAAAUGUUGGGUUAAGUCCCGCAACGAGCGCAACCCUUAUCCUUUGUUGCCAGCGGUUAGGCCGGGAACUCAAAGGAGACUGCCAGUGAUAAACUGGAGGAAGGUGGGGAUGACGUCAAGUCAUCAUGGCCCUUACGACCAGGGCUACACACGUGCUACAAUGGCGCAUACAAAGAGAAGCGACCUCGCGAGAGCAAGCGGACCUCAUAAAGUGCGUCGUAGUCCGGAUUGGAGUCUGCAACUCGACUCCAUGAAGUCGGAAUCGCUAGUAAUCGUGGAUCAGAAUGCCACGGUGAAUACGUUCCCGGGCCUUGUACACACCGCCCGUCACACCAUGGGAGUGGGUUGCAAAAGAAGUAGGUAGCUUAACCUUCGGGAGGGCGCUUACCACUUUGUGAUUCAUGACUGGGGUGAAGUCGUAACAAGGUAACCGUAGGGGAACCUGCGGUUGGAUCACCUCCUUACCUUAAAGAA